This 520-nucleotide unclassified non-coding RNA is filed under the name uncultured Glomus. RNAcentral describes it as "SSU rRNA". It matches the Rfam family "Eukaryotic small subunit ribosomal RNA", at positions 569 to 1089 of the family's 1831-position model. Lineage: Eukaryota; Fungi; Glomeromycota; Glomeromycetes; Glomerales; Glomeraceae. The record is from RNAcentral.
AGCAGCCGCGGUAAUUCCAGCUCCAAUAGCGUAUAUUAAAGUUGUUGCAGUUAAAAAGCUCGUAGUUGAAUUUCGGGGUUAGUAGGUUGGUCAUGCCUCUGGUAUGUACUGGUCUCACUGAUUCCUCCUUCCUGAUGAGCCGUAAUGCCAUUAAUUUGGUGUUGCGGGGAAUCUGGACUGUUACUUUGAAAAAAUUUAGAGUGUUUAAAGCAAGCUAACGCUUGAAUACAUUAGCAUGGAAUAAUGAAAUAGGACGUUCGAUCCUAUUUUGUUGGUUUCUAGGAUUGACGUAAUGAUUAAUAGGGAUAGUUGGGGGCAUUAGUAUUCAAUUGUCAGAGGUGAAAUUCUUGGAUUUAUUGAAGACUAACUACUGCGAAAGCAUUUGCCAAGGAUGUUUUCAUUAGUCAAGAACGAAAGUUAGGGGAUCGAAGACGAUCAGAUACCGUCGUAGUCUUAACCAUAAACUAUGCCGACUAGGGAUCGGAUGAUGUUAAUUUUUUAAUGACUCAUUCGGCGCCUU